Molecule: non-coding RNA, 112 nt
Organism: Hordeum vulgare subsp. vulgare (domesticated barley)
Lineage: Eukaryota; Viridiplantae; Streptophyta; Magnoliopsida; Poales; Poaceae
Source: Rfam
CUCGGGAAGAGUUAUCUUUUCUGCUUAACGGCCUGCCAACCCUGGAAACGGUUCAGCCGGAGGUAGGGUCCAGUGGCCGGAAGAGCACCGCACGUCGCGCGGUGUCCGGUGN